This 254-nucleotide ribosomal RNA is filed under the name uncultured bacterium. RNAcentral describes it as "partial 16S ribosomal RNA". It matches the Rfam family "Bacterial small subunit ribosomal RNA", at positions 524 to 776 of the family's 1533-position model. The record is from RNAcentral.
UACGGGGGGGGCGAGCGUUGUUCGGAAUUACUGGGCGUAAAGGGCUCGUAGGCGGCCAACUAAGUCGGAUGUGAAAUCCCCAGGCUUAACCUGGGAACUGCAUCCGAUACUGGAUGGCUUGAAUCCGGGAGAGGGAUGCAGAAUUCCAGGUGUAGCGGUGAAAUGCGUAGAUAUCUGGAGGAAUACCGGUGGCGAAGGCGGCAUCCUGGACCGGCAUUGACGCUGAGUGAGCGAAAGCCAGGGGAGCAAACGGG